This is an RNA transcript of Vigna angularis (adzuki bean), 935 nucleotides long. It is a transcript of the gene named actin-related protein 2/3 complex subunit 3, with no coding region annotated. The transcript has 5 exons. The record is from RefSeq and is a predicted model, not a curated record. NCBI's taxonomy places the organism in Eukaryota, Viridiplantae, Streptophyta, Magnoliopsida, Fabales, Fabaceae.
AAACUAACCACUAUCGUUAUUGUCAGAUCGCAUUCCAAUUUAUAGUUACUUUUUCCGCAAUCUUGAUUUCACAUCACCUAACAAAUUUGGCAUCAUAAUUAUUCAAUUUACUUCCACUUUUGGUUGUUUUGGUGCACAUUUAUCAAUUUCUCAGUUUCACUCCAAAGAAUUACUCAUUUACAUGCUUGGAUUGUUUUCUUUUCCCUUCAUUUUCAGAAACGCUUGGGUUGCAAUUGAAAUCUUCUGAGCAAUCCUUGUUCUUAUCGUGGCCACAAUAGACAUGGUUUAUCACUCUAGUUUUGUGAAUGAAGAUGGGGUGAGUAGAGCUUGUGGGUGUCCUCUUCUUCCUCUCAAGAGCCAUAUCAAGGGACCUGCUCCUGUUUCAGAUCAAGAUACAACUGAUAUCGUGGAUGAAGCCAUCACCUUCUUUCGAGCCAAUGUGUUCUUCAGAAACUUUGACAUCAAGAGCCCUGCCGAUAAGCUUCUCAUAUACUUGACUUUUUACAUCAACAUCGCUCUCAAAAGGCUUGAAGGUUGCAGAACCUUGGCUGAAGGAACCAAAGCAAUCAUCAACUUGGGUCUCGAAAAGGUUCCUGUCCCUGGAGAGUCUGGCUUUCCAUUUCCGGGCCUUUUCCCCCUUCCUCAAUCACACGACGAAGCAGGUAUAGCUCUAACCAUGAAGCCGGAUAGGUAUAUCUAAUAUAACUGCCAGAAUAUACAAACAUGGAUUGGAGUGAUACCAAAUGUCCUCAGUGAUCUGAAGAUAUGACUCAAGUCUGGAAAACUAUCAUUCUGAGAGAAUUGCUCAAAAACUAUUUGAAGCAGAUAAGGGAAGAAACAAGUGGGAGGUUAUUAAGCGUUGCAUACAGACCUAACGGCACUCCAAAUAAAUGGUGGUUGGCAUUUGCAAAGAGGAAAUUUAUGAAUAUAAUCAU